Molecule: small RNA, 395 nt
Filed under: Rattus norvegicus (Norway rat)
Lineage: Eukaryota; Metazoa; Chordata; Mammalia; Rodentia; Muridae
Description: uncharacterized LOC108352971
Source: RNAcentral
CCAGAAUUCCAUUUAUGAAAGACCACAAGCUCUAUAGACGCUAGAAUCACAGAGAUAUGAAGACAGCAUAGCAAAGCAGUGCUACCAAGUUCCAGUGAGAAAUGGAGCACUGGAUAUGGGCCCACUAAGGAGAGCUAUAGUCAGAUUCGUAAGGCAUCAACAGGAGUCGGCUUGGAGUCUGGAAGACCUUCCUUGAUUAUGCCCUGUCAACACAGUAGUACAUGCUGGAGGCUGGGAGUUGCAAGAAAUGUUUGACCUUUUCGUGUCACUGUUGGAGAUCAAAUCUUCAGAUAAAACCUUUUUACUGUGUCCUUAUUACAGUGGUCAGUUCAUACACUAGGCAUGAGAAGGUCUGUAUUAUUUUUCUUGUUAAAUACUUGAAUAAAUGAUGUGAU